AUUUUUUUUAUGAAGAAGGCCAUUUGACUAUGUCUUGUUGAAAAAUCUGCAAUUCCAAAAUUAUAAUUUGAUGGGAGUAAGUUAAAGCAUAUUAUCAAGUGCAAAUUAUAACAUCGUAUUUGCUUAAAGAGCAACAAAAAUGCACUAGUGAUUUCAUGUAGAACUAGGCACACAAUUCUUUAGGCAUCCAUGAAUUAAGACACCACACCUAAAGUAAUAUAUGACUGGAUAUUACUUUAAUAAUUGUCAGAAACAUAUCGUUGUGCCUCCUUGGUUUGAAAAUUUUAUUACUUUGAUGAAGUAAUAUAUCACAAAACAUGCAGCCUCUUGGAUUUUAUCAAUUGCACUUUAGCGAAAUUAAUCCAGACUUUAUCAGUUGCACUUUGGUGAAAAUUAAUCCAUAUACGUAUCUGUUGCAUUUUAAAAUUUCAGGUCAAUCAAGCUCUUCAUGAAU
This 454-nucleotide unclassified non-coding RNA is filed under the name Hevea brasiliensis (rubber tree). Lineage: Eukaryota; Viridiplantae; Streptophyta; Magnoliopsida; Malpighiales; Euphorbiaceae. The record is from RNAcentral.